This 468-nucleotide ribosomal RNA is filed under the name uncultured bacterium. RNAcentral's name for it is "partial 16S ribosomal RNA". It matches the Rfam family "Bacterial small subunit ribosomal RNA", at positions 28 to 507 of the family's 1533-position model. The record is from RNAcentral.
GACGAACGCUGGCGGCGUGCUUAACACAUGCCAGUCGAACGGAAAGGCCCUGCUUUUGUGGGGUUCUCGAGUGGCGAACGGGUGAGUAACACGUGAGUAACCUGCCCUUGACUUUGGGAUGACUUCAGGAAACUGGGGUUAAUACCGGAUCGGAGCUCCUGCUGCAUGGUGGGGGUGGGAACGUUUCGGCGGUGGGGGAUGGAGUCGCGGCUUAUCAGCUUGUUGGUUGGGGAGGGGCUUGCCAAGGCUGUGAAGGGUAGGCGGCCGGUGAGGGUGACCGGCCACAUUGGGACUGAGGGAGGGCCCAGAGUGCUACAGGAGGCAGCAGUGGGAAAUAUUGCACAAUGGGCGGAAGCCUGAUGAAGCAACGCCGCGUGUGGGAUGACGGCCUUCGGGUUGUAAACCGCUUUCGCCUGUGACGAGGCGUGAGUGACGGUAAUGGGUAAAGAAGCACCGGCUAACUACGUG